This 275-nucleotide long non-coding RNA is filed under the name Olea europaea (common olive). Its description in RNAcentral is "long non-coding RNA (OEUR_LNC014442)". Lineage: Eukaryota; Viridiplantae; Streptophyta; Magnoliopsida; Lamiales; Oleaceae. The record is from RNAcentral.
UUGAUUCAUUAUUCUUGCGUCUCUUUGUGUAUGGUAGAACUUUCUGGGUUCUCUUCUCUCCUUCGAAACUUGGUGUCUUUGCCUUUUCUUUUUCUUCGUGAUUCUUGUUCCUUAGCCUGAAAUAUUUGGUUUUCUGGUGAAUCUGAGUAUGUUGAAUCUUGGGGAUUCUUCGAUUUCAGUUUGAAAGGGUUUGUGUUGGUGUUUUGGGAGAGAUUCGGUCCAUUGAGUUACUGCCUCUGUAUUAUGGUUUGGGGUUGUGGUUUUGUGAGCUANNN